UCGUAGCCAAAUAUAUACAUAACAAAACCUUUCCCAUUUUAACCAUUUUUAAUUAUACAAUUUGGUGGCAUUAAAUACACUCACAGUGUUUGGCAACCAUCAUCACAUCCAUCUCCAGAACUUUAUUAUCAUCCUGAACAUAGUACCUAUGAAACCUGUGAUGGUUAAUGUUGAGUGUCAACUUGAUUGGAUUGAAGGAUACAAACUAUUGAUCCUGGUUGUAUCUGUGAGUGUGUUGCCAAAGGAGAUUAACGUUUGAGUCAGUGGGCUGGGAAGGGAAGACCCACCCUUUAUCUGCGUGGGCACCAUCUAAUCAGCUGCCAGUGCAGCUAGAAUAUAAAGCCGGAAGAAAAAUGUGAAAAGAGAGAGACUGGACUAGCCUCCCAGCCUACAUCUUUCUCCUGUGCUGGAUGCUUCCUGCCCUCGAACAUUGGACAGGUUCUUCAGUUUUGAAAGUAGACUGGCUCUCCUUGCUCCUCCGCCUACAGAUGGCCUAGUUUGGGACCUUGUGAUUGCGAGGAAGAAACAUUAAUGACAGUCAUUACAUUCCCCCAGACUUUCACAUGGAAGAUGCCUGAAGCACUCAGACAGAAUUUUCUUGUUUACUAAGAGAGCAUUUAAAACCUGAUUUGAUUUAUGCAUAGUCUUCUGGAGCACGCUGAUAACAUAAAGCCAGGCUCCCCUGAGGACAAGGACUAGAACUUCUUCGUCUUCUCUACAUCAUCCAGUACCUGGCCCAUGGAUAAGUUAAUAACCAGCAUGAAGCCUGCUAUCUAGAAGAGGACUGACCCACCCAAAGCACCCAGACUGUCAUCCCACCCAGCAUAAAAACAAGCCACCCCAGAGACGCAGAGCUGGCACCUCAAGCGGAAGGCUGGCUACGUUGUUUCCACUUGAUCUGAGCUUGCCGCCAUUGAGAUGGAAGAUACUGCUUCCCUUGGGGAGGAGAACGUUGUGUGCCAUGUGGCGCUGGAGAAAUUCAUGUGGACGCUGCGUGACUAUUUGCUGGGGAUUUUGUAGAGAAGAUGUUAGCACUCUGAAUGGUUAGACUUUCAAUAUUUCAUAUUUGAUUUCUCCAAAAUACCCAGAAUGACUGAGGAGACUAAAUAUUUAUCCUUAAGCUGAUAAAGGCAGGUAGUAUGAAAUUACCCUCCGCAAACAUACAAUGUCUUUGAAGUUGUAAAAGCCAUGCAUAAUUUACAACUUAAAUCAAAAUAUAUUUGUGUUUAUGCUAAUAUGUUCUAUUCUGAUUAUUAUAGUGCAAGGACUAGAAAUUAGUUGAACAAGUUAAGUAAAAUGGCCAGCUUAUGUUAAGUGAAUCCAUCUCGUAGAAUCCAAGAACAGUGAAGGCGGGGGAGCUGCAUGUUGUCGGGUGCUGGAGAGCUGUCGGGAGUGAGGGGGCUCUUCCCAUUUCUCAGGGCUGCUUGUGUUUCCUCUCAGCUCCUCUCUGUGGAUCUGCUCUCUGACAUUUAUAUGUGGUUCAAAACAGAACCCUUCACUUUUGGGUCUAUUCAGUCUUUUAGUUCCAGCCUUCAAGAUCAAAUAUCUACAGCCUCUUAGCUCAAAAUUGGAAUGGUUAUGCUCAUUGGACCAGGUGGCUAUCCCUAAAGCAAAUUAUUUAAGGUUGGAAAGGCAGCGUAUACAGUUGGUGUUCCAGGGACUAAGGGUAGGACAGGUCAAACUACAAGGGGGAGUCCUACAUACAAAGCAAAUAAUCUAUAAGUAAAUGUGAUGUUCCAAGUUACUUUCCAUCCUGAGAAGUCAAAGACAAACAGCAAAAAGUAUUUCACUUUCUCCUGUACCUUAGUGUAUAGCAUGGAACUAGACAAGGUCUAAUUUGAAGCUAAAUUCCAGAUUGUGUGCUCUCUCCCAGGGCCUGAAUAAUGUAAUUCUUUCACAAAAGGAAAAAAAUAGUAAUUUUACUGUGAAAAGUAGAAUAAUAUUUGUCAGACCAGACCUCAUGUAUUUUAGCUGUGUGCUCUUAGAAUAUAAAUACAAAAUGUAAAGAAAAGUAGUUUUUGAAGUCACCCUCCAGUUUAGUAUGAAAUGUAAUGGCGUCUUCAAACUUGGGUGAUGUUUACAUCUUAAAAUAACACUGUUGUUGUGAUGAAAUAUAUUACAUAAAAUUUACCAUUUUAACCAUGUUUGAGUGUACAGUUCAAUGGCAUUGAAUUGUAGAUAUUUUACUCUUUCGGAACCUAUUGUAAAUGUGAUUAUUUGUUGGUGUAUAGAAAUACAACCAAUUUUCUGUGUAUUUG
This 2258-nucleotide long non-coding RNA is filed under the name Homo sapiens (human). Its description in RNAcentral is "HSALNT0037302". Lineage: Eukaryota; Metazoa; Chordata; Mammalia; Primates; Hominidae. The record is from RNAcentral.